CCCUUAGAUGUCCUGGGCCGCACGCGCGCUACACUGAGUGUCUGAGAUACGAGUCUGCCUGGUCCGGCAAGGUCUAGGUAAUCGCUAAAAGACACAUCAUGCUUGGGAUAGAUUAUUGCAAAUAUUAAUCUUGAACGAGGAAUUCCUAGUAAGCGCAAGUCAACAGCUUGCGUUGAUUACGUCCCUGCCCUUUGUACACACCGCCCGUCGCUACUACUGAUUGGAUGUUUAAGCGAGGUUCUCGAACUGCUAGCGACUUAGCUUCGGUGAGGUCGCAGUGUGGGAAGUGAACCUAGCUUUGGUGUCUAGAGGAAGUAAAAUUCGUAACA
Molecule: ribosomal RNA, 329 nt
Filed under: uncultured eukaryote
Lineage: Eukaryota
Description: partial 18S ribosomal RNA
Rfam family: Eukaryotic small subunit ribosomal RNA
Source: RNAcentral